This 201-nucleotide ribosomal RNA is filed under the name uncultured bacterium. RNAcentral's name for it is "partial 16S ribosomal RNA". It matches the Rfam family "Bacterial small subunit ribosomal RNA", at positions 328 to 539 of the family's 1533-position model. The record is from RNAcentral.
ACGCUCGACACCUACGGGAGGCAGCAGUGGGGAAUAUUGCACAAUGGGGGAAACCCUGAUGCAGCAACGCCGCGUGAAGGAAGAAGUAUUUCGGUAUGUAAACUUCUAUCAGCAGGGAAGAAAAAGAUGACGGUACCUGACUAAGAAGAACCGGCUAAAUACGUGCAAGCAGCCGCGGUAAUCUGAGCGGGCUGGCAAGGC